GCCCCCAUCGUCUAGCGGCCCAGGACGCCACCCCUUCAAGGUGGAGAUCGCGGGUUCGAAUCCCGCUGGGGGCACCA
RNAcentral lists this transfer RNA (77 nucleotides) under Chloroflexota bacterium. Its description in RNAcentral is "Chloroflexi bacterium (groundwater metagenome) tRNA-Glu". It matches the Rfam family "tRNA". Rfam says of the family: Transfer RNA (tRNA) molecules are approximately 80 nucleotides in length. Their secondary structure includes four short double-helical elements and three loops (D, anti-codon, and T loops). The record is from RNAcentral. Lineage: Bacteria; Bacillati; Chloroflexota.